GGAAAAUCUCAUUCUCUCUUCAUUCAUUCUCCUCUGCAAACUUACCGUAAUCCACAGUUCCAACUUACAGCUUAUUCUAUAUCUGAUUCUUUAAGAACUCGUUGAAGUUAUGGCGUCCCGUUUUUGGACUCAGGGUGAUAGUGAUACGGAAGAGGAGGAGGAGAGUGAUUACGAGGUGGAGGAUGAUGCGCCAGCUGAAAAUCCAGAUGCACCGUCUGGGCCUGGGGCAAGAUAUCUUGCAGCUGAUGAUAGCGAUAGUGAUGAAUCGGAUGGUCAGAAGCGAGUUGUCCGGUCAGCCAAGGACAAGCGUUUUGAGGAGUUGUCAGCUACAGUUGAUCAGAUGAAGAAUGCUAUGAAGAUUAAUGACUGGGUUAGCUUGCAGGAGAGCUUUGACAAGAUUAAUAAGCAGCUGGAGAAGGUCAUGCGCAUUACAGAAUCUAUUAAACCACCAAAUCUCUACAUCAAAGCUCUAGUGAUGCUGGAGGAUUUUUUGAAUCAGGCCUUGGCCAACAAGGAGACUAGGAAGAAGAUGAGUAGUAGUAAUGCUAAAGCCUUAAAUUCAAUGAAACAGAAACUGAAAAAGAAUAAUAAGCAGUACGAGGAGUUGAUUAAUAAGUAUAGGGAAAAUCCUCCAGUGAGCGAGGAGGAGGGUGGUGAUGAUGAAGAGUCGGAAGAGGAAGAAGAAGAGGACGACUUUGAGGAGGACCCAACAAAGAUUGCAGCUGCAUCUGCAUCUGAUGAUGAUGAUCCGGACACGAUAGGUGAUGGGUGGGAGAAGAAGGUGAACAAGAAAGACAAACUUCUGGAUAAACAGUUUAAAGAUCCGAGUCAAAUCACGUGGGAGAUAGUCAACAAGAAGUUCAAGGAAAUCGUUGCUGCUAGGGGUAGAAAGGGGACUGGAAAGAUGGAAUUGGUCGAACAGCUCACCUUCUUGACCAAGGUGGCCAAGACUCCAGCACAGAAGCUUGAAAUUCUGUUUGGUGUUGUGUCUGCACAGUUUGAUAUCAAUCCAGGUCUCAGUGGACACAUGCCUAUAAAUGUGUGGAAAAGGUGUGUGCAAAAUAUGCUUACAAUCCUUGAUGUUUUGACCCAAUACCCAAACAUUGUGGUUGAUGACAUGGUGGAGCCUGAUGAGAAUGAGACUCAGAAAGGAGCAGACCACUCAGGAACUACAAGGAUCUGGGGAAACUUGGUUGCCUUUGUUGAAAGGAUUGAUGUAGAGUUUUUCAAGAGCUUGCAGGUAAUUGAUCCACAUACCAGCCAGUAUGUUGAGAGGCUGAGGGAUGAGCCGUUGUUUUUGGUUCUUGCUCAAAAUGUCCAGCGUUAUUUAGAACAGGUGGGUGACUAUAAGGGUGCUGCCAAAGUGGCUCUUAAACAGGUUGAAUUUAUCUAUUAUAAACCGC
This 1403-nucleotide unclassified non-coding RNA is filed under the name Hevea brasiliensis (rubber tree). The record is from RNAcentral. Lineage: Eukaryota; Viridiplantae; Streptophyta; Magnoliopsida; Malpighiales; Euphorbiaceae.